Molecule: ribosomal RNA, 484 nt
Filed under: uncultured bacterium
Lineage: Bacteria
Description: partial 16S ribosomal RNA
Rfam family: Bacterial small subunit ribosomal RNA
Source: RNAcentral
AUUGAACGCUGGCGGCAGGCCUAACACAUGCAAGUCGAGCGGAUGAAGGGAGCUUGCUCCUGGAUUCAGCGGCGGACGGGUGAGUAAUGCCUAGGAAUCUGCCUGGUAGUGGGGGAUAACGUCCGGACACGGGCGCUAAUACCGCAUACGUCCUGAUGGAGAAAGUGGGGGAUCUUCGGACCUCACGCUAUCAGAUGUGCCUAGGUCGGAUUAGCUAGUUGGUGUGGUAAAGGCCUACCAAGGCGACGAUCCGUAACUGGUCUGAGAGGAUGACCAGUCACACUGGAACAGAGACAGGGUCCAGACACCGACGGGAGGCAGCAGUGGGGAAUAUUGGACAAUGGGCGAAAGCCUGAUCCAGCAAUGCCGCGUGUGUGAAGAAGGUCUUCGGAUUGUAAAGCACUUUAAGUUGGGAGGAAGGGCAGUAAGUUAAUACCUGGAUGUAUUGACGGUAACAACAGAAUAAGCACCGGCUAACUUCGUG